This 148-nucleotide signal recognition particle RNA is filed under the name Gorilla gorilla gorilla (western lowland gorilla). RNAcentral describes it as "Metazoan signal recognition particle RNA". It matches the Rfam family "Metazoan signal recognition particle RNA". Rfam says of the family: The signal recognition particle (SRP) is a universally conserved ribonucleoprotein. It is involved in the co-translational targeting of proteins to membranes. The eukaryotic SRP consists of a 300-nucleotide 7S RNA and six proteins: SRPs 72, 68, 54, 19, 14, and 9. The record is from Rfam by way of RNAcentral. Lineage: Eukaryota; Metazoa; Chordata; Mammalia; Primates; Hominidae.
GCUGGGCAUGGUGGUGUGUGCCUGUAAUCCCAGCUACUGGGGAGGCUGAGGCAGGAGGAUGGCUUGAACCCAGGAGGCGGAGGUUGCAGUGAGCCGAGAUUGUGCCACUGCACUCCAGCCUGGGUGACAGAGCAAGAUUCCGCCUCAA